UACGUAGGGGGCGAGCGUUGUCCGGAGUUACUGGGCGUAAAGGGCACGCAGGCGGUCGUGUAGGUGUGGGUUGACAGCUCCCGGCUUAACUGGGAGAGCGACGCGCAAACGGCACGACUCGAGGGCCAGAGAGGAACCGAGAAUUCCGGGUGGAGCGGUGAAAUGCGUAGAGAUCCGGAGGAAUACCAAAGGCGAAGGCAGGGUUCUGGCUGGUCCCUGACGCUCAGGUGCGAAAGCGAGGGGAGCCAACGGG
RNAcentral lists this ribosomal RNA (253 nucleotides) under uncultured bacterium. RNAcentral describes it as "partial 16S ribosomal RNA". It matches the Rfam family "Bacterial small subunit ribosomal RNA", at positions 524 to 776 of the family's 1533-position model. The record is from RNAcentral.